AACGUAGGAGACAAACGUUAUCCGGAGUUACUGGGCGUAAAGGGCGUGUAGGCGGUCUGUUAAGUCUGGCGUGAAAGCUCUCGGCUAAACCGGGAGAGGUCGUUGGAUACUGGCAGACUAGAGGACGGUAGAGGCGUGUGGAAUUCCGGGUGUAGUGGUGAAAUGCGUAGAGAUCCGGAGGAACACCAGUGGCGGAAGGCGACACGCUGGGCCGUACCUGACGGCUAAAGCGCGACAGCAUGGGGAGCAAACGGGG
Molecule: ribosomal RNA, 256 nt
Filed under: uncultured bacterium
Lineage: Bacteria
Description: partial 16S ribosomal RNA
Rfam family: Bacterial small subunit ribosomal RNA
Source: RNAcentral